GUGCCAGCAGCCGCGGUAAUACGUAGGUGGCAAGCGUUAUCCGGAAAAAUUGGGCGUAAAGCGCGCGUAGGCGGUUUAAAAAGUCUGAUGUGAAAGCCCACGGCUCAACCGUGGAGGGUCAUUGGGAACUGGAGAACUUGAGUGCAGAAGAGGAAAGUGGAAUUCCAUGUGUAGCCGUGAAAUGCGCAGAGAUAUGGAGGAACACCUGUGGCGAAGGCGACUUUCUGGUCAGAAACUGACGCUGAUGUGCGAAAGCGUCCGGAUCAAACAGGAUUAGAAACCCGCGUAGUCC
RNAcentral lists this ribosomal RNA (292 nucleotides) under uncultured prokaryote. Its description in RNAcentral is "partial 16S ribosomal RNA". It matches the Rfam family "Bacterial small subunit ribosomal RNA", at positions 505 to 796 of the family's 1533-position model. The record is from RNAcentral.